This 503-nucleotide ribosomal RNA is filed under the name uncultured bacterium. RNAcentral describes it as "partial 16S ribosomal RNA". It matches the Rfam family "Bacterial small subunit ribosomal RNA", at positions 30 to 523 of the family's 1533-position model. The record is from RNAcentral.
AUUGAACGCUGGCGGCAGGCUUAACACAUGCAAGUCGAGCGGGGUGAUGGUGCUUGCACUAUCACUUAGCGGCGGACGGGUGAGUAAUGCUUAGGAAUCUGCCUAUUAGUGGGGGACAACAUCUCGAAAGGGAUGCUAAUACCGCAUACGUCCUACGGGAGAAAGCAGGGGAUCACUUGUGACCUUUCGCUAAUAGAUGAGCCUAAGUCGGAUUAGCUAGUUGGUGGGGUAAAGGCCUACCAGGGCGACGAUCUGUAGCGGGUCUGAGAGGAUGAUCCGCCACACUGGGACUGAGACACGGCCCAGACUCCUACGGGAGACAGCAGUGGGGAAUAUUGGACAAUGGGGGGAACCCUGAUCCAGCCAUGCCGCGUGUGUGAAGAAGGCCUUAUGGUUGUAAAGCACUUUAAGCGAGGAGGAGGCUCUUUUGGUUAAUACCCAAGAUGAGUGGACGUUACUCGCAGAAUAAGCACCGGCUAACUCUGUGCCAGCCGCCGCAGUAA